RNAcentral lists this ribosomal RNA (233 nucleotides) under uncultured bacterium. Its description in RNAcentral is "partial 16S ribosomal RNA". It matches the Rfam family "Bacterial small subunit ribosomal RNA", at positions 333 to 582 of the family's 1533-position model. The record is from RNAcentral.
GAAGUCCUACGGGGGGCAGCAGUGGGGAAUAUUGCACAAUGGGGGGAAACCCUGAUGCAGCGACGCCGCGUGAGCGAUGAAGUAUUUCGGUAUGUAAAGCUCUAUCAGCAGGGAAGAUAAUGACGGUACCUGACUAAGAAGCCCCGGCUAACUACGUGCCAGCAGCCGCGGUAAUACGUAGGGGGCAAGCGUUAUCCGGAUUUACUGGGUGUAAAGGGUGCGUAGGUGGCAGG